GCUUGUCUCAAAGAUUAAGCCAUGCAUGUCUAAGUAUAAGCAACCUUAUACAGCGAAACUGCGUACAGCUCAUUAUAUCAGCAAUUAUUUAUUUGAAGAUCACCUAUUACAUGGAUAACCGUGGUAAUUCUAGAGCUAAUACAUGCUAAAAACCCCGACUUCGGAAGGGGUGUAUUUAUUAGAUACAAAACCAAUGCCCUUCGGGGCUCCUUGGUGAUUCAUGAUAACUAUACGAAUCGCACGGCCUUGCGCCGGCGAUGGUUCAUUCAAAUUUCUUCCCUAUCAACUUUCGAUGUUUGGGUAUUGGCCAAACAUGGUUGCAACGGGUAACGGAGGGUUAGGGCUCGACCCCGGAGAAGGAGCCUGAGAAACGGCUACUACAUCCAAGGAAGGCAGCAGG
RNAcentral lists this ribosomal RNA (400 nucleotides) under Sarocladium strictum. RNAcentral's name for it is "partial small subunit ribosomal RNA". It matches the Rfam family "Eukaryotic small subunit ribosomal RNA", at positions 30 to 432 of the family's 1831-position model. The record is from RNAcentral. Lineage: Eukaryota; Fungi; Ascomycota; Sordariomycetes; Hypocreales; Sarocladiaceae.